Molecule: ribosomal RNA, 375 nt
Filed under: Stator limbatus
Lineage: Eukaryota; Metazoa; Arthropoda; Insecta; Coleoptera; Chrysomelidae
Description: partial 12S ribosomal RNA
Source: RNAcentral
UUCUUUCUAGGAACACUUUCCAGUACACCUACUUUGUUACGACUUAUUUCAUUUUAAAAUGAAAGCGACGGGCGAUAUGUACAUAUUUUAGAGCUAUAAUCAUUUUAAAUAAAUUUAAAAAAUUACUUUCAAAUCCAAAUUCAAAUUUUUGUAAUAAAAAUUAUCCUUAAAUAAAUUUAUUGUAAUCCACCUCUUUUUUAUUAUAAACUACACCUUGAUCUGAUUUAUUUUCUAAUUAAAAAUUCUGAAUAUUUAUAUUCUAUUAAAAUAUUCAAACUACGACGAUAUGUAAGCUAAAAAAUAAAAUUUUUAUUAUCGUGGACUAUCAAUUACAGGGCAGAUUCCUCUGAAAAGACUAAAAUACCGCCAAAUUUU